RNAcentral lists this long non-coding RNA (4387 nucleotides) under Malus domestica (apple). Its description in RNAcentral is "long non-coding RNA (MDOM_LNC007654)". The record is from RNAcentral. Lineage: Eukaryota; Viridiplantae; Streptophyta; Magnoliopsida; Rosales; Rosaceae.
UGCGUCUUGCGAUUGCGGCCGAGAAAGGAACACGUCUCGGCCUCUUGGGUUCUCGAGCCUGAAGACAAGGCUGCUAUUUCUUACAAAGUUCACGAACCGAAAUCGGCUUGCAAUGUGCCGAAUGUAAUAACUGUGACACCUCACCUCGCCAAGAAGGCUAAUGAGAUGACCUCGACCAGCAAGGAUUCGAAAAACCCUUCUCGACCGAGACUUGGAUAAGUAAUCGACCGUUCUCGCCGCAGUGCUGUUGAUGCCAACGGAAGAUACUGCGAGACCGACCGACUCUACGGUGACAGAGCUAUCUAUGCCGACUUAAGAUAUCACCGGUUGCUUCCACAGUGCUGUUGAUGCCAACGGAAGAUGUGUCAGCGAAAAAAAGGAAAAGAAAAAGAUCUCAAGUUGUGAGAGUUUGCGCAGGGCAAUUUUGUAUUGAUUUUGUGGGGGGCUUGAUUGUUACAUGGUGCCCUGUAUUUAUAGGGACGAGCGCGCAUUGGUUGAUAAGCUCUAAGGCUGAUCGAAGUUCCACCAUCCUAUUAAAACUCUUCCACCGUUCAAGCUUUGGUCGAAUCCUACAAUACCACUAUUCUGAACUUAGUCAAAAAUGCAACCAGGUUCAAUCCACGUGCAGCCCCGUGCUUAAAGCAAGAUAAGCACUCAUUUUAUAUUGAUCAAAACGUAGACAUUUAACCAAAUGUCCUUCAUCCAUAUCAUUUCACUUCCAACCAAAUGCAAACCAUGCAUUAUCAGAAAGUCAAACUGAUCACAUCUCCUAUGCAUGUUGCCUUAUCCUUAGAUUUUGAUAAGUAGAAUUUUCCGUGUUGAUCAGGAACGCAAGCCAACCAAGCUGCACAAUGCGUAACCACACAGUCCUUGUAUAAUGCAACUUCUCUUAUUUAUUUGACUCUCAAGCUGCAACUAUAAGAUAAUUACCAUUUUAAUAAAUUCCUAACCAAAUGGUAAUAUCAAAUAGGGCUUCUUUCAUUGAAUGACUCAAAGUAUACGGGCUGAGUUCGUGCAAAAUCACGGCCUCUUAAUAUUCAGAAUCAUCUGUCGAUCUCGAAUUCUGCACAUUCAACGGCCUCGAUUACUCGGGCCGAUGACAUAAAAUCGGGUACAAACAUUGCCCCCCAGUUUCUUUAAGCUUCGGCUCGUAAGCUGAAUGGUUAAGGAAAUUGAUUAUUUGGAACCAGCAUCAUUCCGCCGUAUUGCUGAAAAAGAAACUUUGUUCCAUGACAAUAAUAUCUCUAUCCUGCCAAUGCUGUGGUCUUCCUCGACUCGACCGUCCGUCUCAUUCGGUCGAAACUUAAAAGCAAAUGAGGCCGAGAAAUAGGGUCGAGAAAAAGCUUAUUUCUGAUAGCUCGGCCUGCCAUUUGAAUGUUGCAACCACCUUUCCUUUGCGCCAAUAUUUAUUUGAUUCUUAAACUUGUAUCUUUGUAGCACAUGUUGACAAUGAAAAGACUAAGCCAUCCUCGGCGACUUCAUCACCAAGGAGUCAUUUGGCGACUCCACACCGAGGAGUCAUUCGGCGACAACUGCUGGAGGUCUCUCACCCAUCACUUCUCAUGAUGUUAAGAGGAUACAGUGGGAACACCACUAUCCAUGACGAACGUUAAGAUCGGCACCGACACUACCGAAUGGGUUGAUACCGCCGAACUCGGUUCAUAGCCCAACCAAACACAGAAAAGAACUGAUGUCACCGAGCUCAAGUUGUAAACCGAUGUGUGCUGCCAUUAAGGACAUUUGACAUCUUCUCCAAAUCAUCGUCAAGAGUCGUCGUCGAGCUCGACAGUAUCAUUCAUAAUCCAAUCACUUGCUAAUUCAUUCCUAUAAAUUGUGAGUUGUUACCCUCACUUGCUGAAUAUCGACUUUCUCGGCUUCAUUAAUCCAAGACCGAGAGCUUCUCCGUGAAAUCACAAUCUUAGACUCCUCAUCAUAUCCCCAAUACCGAUUAUGUAAUACAUAGAGAAACAUAUGGGAUGCAUGGUCAGCUUCCUUUGUACCUUCGAUUGCCACCAACUGCUCGACAACAAAAAUGAUGAGCCGUGUAUAUAUAUUAUAUACACUUGAACUACCAAGGAAGGAUGAUGCAUGCAUGCGCCAAAUGGCCACCAAAAAAUGGCCCAAUUUUUCUAACUUCCACCGAAUGCCAUUCACCCCAUAUUAAAGCCACUCUGCUUUGUUUGGUCAUCUAAAAAAAACCUUUGGAUACUACCGAACCCAACGUACAAUGUGGCCAAGCUCAACAACAUAUACUAGGUAGCUCGGCCUGUGCAUCGGUAAUAUGAAACCAACUCUACCACCGAAGAACAUCAUCGAACUGCAAAACCUUUUCAAUACACGACUCGGCAGAGAUUUGACGAGCUUGCCGAGCUCGGUGAGAAAAAUACCAUAAAUACCUCGACAAUUAGAAACCUUUUAGACCACUCCACUUCAUUUGGUGAAACUUGACCGCCGAGCUUGGUGGGCAUCCUCAAUAGUAUCAUAGCAAGCACACCCACGCCAUGAAUAGAACGCCACCUCCACACAACUUAUAGCUGCGAGAAGACUUUCUCGCCUGAGGAGAUUUCUUCGAUGGUGUUGACAAAGACGAAGAAGAUCGCAGAGGUGUAGAGGACCUUCUCGGCGAGGGCUAGUCCUGCCUAUAUAUAUAUAUGAAAUUGAAAUUGUUCCUGAAGCUCGGCCUGCCACCAAUAUCGAGAAAAAUUGAAAUUGGGCCGAGGUCGACGAUCUGGCCGAGAUUCCAAUUCGCAAUUAUGCCGAGAUUCCAAUGUGAUUGCAUAAGGCUGCCAUGCACAUCCGUUUCCAUUCCUUCGGCAAAAGUUUUUUUUUUUUUUUUUUUUUUUUUUUUUUUUCGGCCAAAAGCUUUCCUUGGCCAAAAUUGUCUGCCGAACUACCAUCUGUUGCCCCCCUUAUUUUCUCAAGUAUCGGCCCAUAAAGCCGAAUGGUCUAGAAAAUAAUUUAUUUCUUUUUUAACAAAAGAAAAACGAAAGUGGCCAAACUAAUAAAGAGGAGGAGGCCAACGAUGCUUUAUUCCAAUCCGAGAUCUUAGGCCGAAUAAAAAAAUUUCUCUAAAUAUUUUUAACUUGACGAAAUAUUUUUCAUUUUCGGCCGCCAAAUGUGUGGAACAAUUAUUUUGCCCCCCGGGCAUAAUUUUUUCACCAAUUUCGGCUUUUAACUCGAACAACUUAGCCGACCGAGAUUUAUCUAUCUCGGCUUUAUCACCAAUAAUCAUAUCGAUUGGCGUGGUUUUGGCGUCUAAAACCAUAUCAAUUGAUGUGGUUUUAUGGUCCGAAGCCGUGUAUCGGUCUUGUUCGUCAUUGGAACACUCCUCUGACAAAUCAUUUUCCAAGUUGAUUUGUGACUCAGAAAUUUGAACUUUUCUUCUAGGCCUACCACACUUUCAGUCUCGACCGAGACAACAGGUGGCCUAGGCGUUUCUUCGGCCGUAUUGGCAAUUUCCUGAGGCCGAAUUUUGAUUGUGGCUGGAACGAAAAAUUGCCCCCCAGCCUUUGGACUUAACCAUUUUUCAAAUGGAAUUGAUCUGUAGUCGGAAACGUAAGGAAAACGUUCUUCAUCUAGCCAGGCAUUAAAUCGAGCCCUGUCUUCAUUUACCCAUUGCCCUUGCAGGGUAACAGGAGCUUUUAUUUUCAACAUGCAAGCGAAUGACUUUUGCAUCUCUCUAUGGCCACGAAGAACUUUUUCCACUUCCCAGGAUCUUUUGCAUUCCUCAUUGUGUUUUUUCAAUUCCUCUAGGAGCUCGUACAAUCGGCUACAUGGAGCCGGAUUGACAUCUUGAUAUAUCAUAUGAACUUCGUAGUUUUAGCACUGGGUCCCACUGGGCGUGCCAAAAUGUUGACCCUAAAAUCUACCAAGCCUACGUGGCGCGCAGGCCGAGUAUAUUCUAAGCUAACUACGUCCUUCGGUGAUUGCGGGGCGUGCCAACUCGUCGGCCGAGGCUCGGCCGAGGAGUAAAUUUGAUGAUGCUGCGUUGGGUCGCGCUACUGACUUCUGCGUCUUGCGAUUGCGGCCGAGAAAGGGAACACGUCUCGGCCUCUUGGGUUCUCGAGCCUGAAGACAAGGCUGCUAUUCUUUACAAAGUUCACGAACCGAAAUCGGCUUGCAAUGUGCCGAAUGUAAUAACUGUGACACCUCACCUCGCCAAGAAGGCUAAUGAGAUGACCUCGACCAGCAAGGAUUCGAAAAACCCUUCUCGACCGAGACUUGGAUAAGUAAUCGACCGUUCUCGCCGCAGUGCUGUUGAUGCCAACGGAAGAUACUGCGAGACCGACCGACUCUACGGUGACAGAGCUAUCUAUGCCGACUUAAGAUAUCACCGGUUGCUUCCACAGUGCUGUUGAUGCCAACGGAAGAUGUGUCAGCGAAAAAA